Molecule: ribosomal RNA, 406 nt
Filed under: uncultured bacterium
Lineage: Bacteria
Description: partial 16S ribosomal RNA
Rfam family: Bacterial small subunit ribosomal RNA
Source: RNAcentral
AUUGAACGCUGGUGGCAGGCCUAACACAUGCAAGUCGAGCGAGCGGCGGACGGGUGAGUAAUGUCUGGGAAACUGCCCGAUGGAGGGGGAUAACUCCUGGAAACGGUAGCUAAUAUCGCAUACCAUCAGAUGUGCCCAGGUGGGAUUAGCUAGUAGGUGGGGUAACGGCUCACCUAGGCGACGCUCCCUAGCUGGUCUGAGAGGAUGACCAGCCACACUGGAACUGAGACACGGUCCAGACUCCUACGGGAGGCAGCAGUGGGGAAUAUUGCACAAUGGGCGCAAGCCUGAUGCAGCCAGGCCGCGUGUGUGAAGAAGGCCUUCGGGUUGUAAAGCACUUUCAGCGGGGAGGCGUUACCCGCAGAAGAAGCACCGGCUAACUCCGUGCCAGCCGCCGCGGUAAUUC